GACGAACCGUGCGAACGUUGUUCGGAAUCACUGGGCGUAAAGGGCGCGUAGGCGGCCGAUCAAGUCGGGGGUGAAAGCCUGUGGCUCAACCACAGAAUUGCCUUCGAUACUGUUUGGCUUGAGACCGGAAGAGGUUAGUGGAACUGCGAGUGUAGAGGUGAAAUUCGUAGAUAUUCGCAAGAACACCAGUGGCGAAGGCGGCUGACUGGUCCGGUUCUGACGCUGAGGCGCGAAAGCGUGGGGAGCAAACAGG
RNAcentral lists this ribosomal RNA (253 nucleotides) under uncultured bacterium. RNAcentral describes it as "partial 16S ribosomal RNA". It matches the Rfam family "Bacterial small subunit ribosomal RNA", at positions 524 to 776 of the family's 1533-position model. The record is from RNAcentral.